Molecule: non-coding RNA, 22 nt
Filed under: Arabidopsis thaliana (thale cress)
Lineage: Eukaryota; Viridiplantae; Streptophyta; Magnoliopsida; Brassicales; Brassicaceae
Source: RNAcentral
GGAAAGAUCUCUAUUGGCCCUA